CCUACGGGUGGCAGCAGUAGGGAAUCUUCGGCAAUGGACGAAAGUCUGACCGAGCAACGCCGCGUGAGUGAAGAAGGUUUCGGAUCGUAAAACUCUGUUGUUAGAGAAGAACAAGUAGGAGAGUAACUGCUCUUACCUUGACGGUAUCUAACCAGAAAGCCACGGCUAACUACGUGCCAGCAGCCGCGGUAAUACGUAGGUGGCAAGCGUUGUCCGGAUUAUUGGGCGUAAAGCGAGCGCAGGCGGUCUUUUAAGUCUGAUGUGAAAGCCCUCGGCUCAACCGAGGAAGGUCAUUGGAAACUGGAGGACUUGAGUGCAGGAGAGGAGAGUGGAAUUCCAUGUGUAGCGGUGAAAUGCGUAGAUAUAUGGAGGAACACCAGUGGCGAAGGCGACUCUCUGGUCUGUAACUGACGCUGAGGCUCGAAAGCGUGGGGAGCAAACAGGAUUAGAUACCCUCGUAG
Molecule: ribosomal RNA, 461 nt
Filed under: uncultured bacterium
Lineage: Bacteria
Description: bacterial SSU rRNA
Rfam family: Bacterial small subunit ribosomal RNA
Source: RNAcentral